AUAAGAGAGUUAAUUAACAUAAUAGGGCUGCUAACUUUGUUAUAAAUGGGUUGUACCAUUUUUUCUUAUA
RNAcentral lists this transfer RNA (70 nucleotides) under Mytilus galloprovincialis (Mediterranean mussel). Its description in RNAcentral is "tRNA-Ser". Lineage: Eukaryota; Metazoa; Mollusca; Bivalvia; Mytilida; Mytilidae. The record is from RNAcentral.